Molecule: ribosomal RNA, 607 nt
Filed under: uncultured bacterium
Lineage: Bacteria
Description: bacterial SSU rRNA
Rfam family: Bacterial small subunit ribosomal RNA (bases 1-522)
Source: RNAcentral
CCUACGGGAGGCAGCAGUGGGGAAUAUUGCGCAAUGGGCGAAAGCCUGACGCAGCAACGCCGCGUGGGGGAUGAAGGCCUUCGGGUUGUAAACCUCUUUCAGCAGGGAAGAAGCGAAAGUGACGGCACCUGCAGAAGAAGCACCGGCUAACCACGUGCCAGCAGCCGCGGUAAUACGUAGGGUGCAAGCGUUGUCCGGAUUUAUUGGGCGUAAAGAGCUCGUAGGCGGUUAGUCACGUCGGAUGUGAAAUCCCGGAGCUUAACUCCGGGCCUGCAUUCGAUACGGGCUGACUCGAGUGUUGUAGGGGAGACUGGAACUCCUGGUGUAGCGGUGAAAUGCGCAGAUAUCAGGAAGAACACCGGUGGCGAAGGCGGGUCUCUGGGCAACUACUGACGCUGAGGAGCGAAAGCGUGGGGAGCAAACAGGAUUAGAUACCCUGGUAGUCCACGCCGUAAACGGUGGGCGCUAGGUGUGGGGAACAUUCCACGUUCUCUGCGCCGCNGCUACGACAUAGCGCCCGCCGUACGGAGACGGCCGCGACGACGUAAACUUAACUAGAAGUAGACGGCGUGAGACGUCGCCGAACGGACGACGACGAGGGAGGAGG